UCCCUGGUGGCUCAAUGGUGGAGAAUCUGCCUGCCAAUGCAGGAGACACAGGUUCAAUCCCUGGUCUGGGAG
RNAcentral lists this transfer RNA (72 nucleotides) under Bos taurus (domestic cattle). It matches the Rfam family "tRNA". From Rfam's summary of the family: Transfer RNA (tRNA) molecules are approximately 80 nucleotides in length. Their secondary structure includes four short double-helical elements and three loops (D, anti-codon, and T loops). Further hydrogen bonds mediate the characteristic L-shaped molecular structure. tRNAs have two regions of fundamental functional importance: the anti-codon, which is responsible for specific mRNA codon recognition, and the 3' end, to which the tRNAs corresponding amino acid is attached (by aminoacyl-tRNA synthetases). tRNAs cope with the degeneracy of the genetic code in two manners: having more than one tRNA (with a specific anti-codon) for a particular amino acid; and 'wobble' base-pairing, i.e. permitting non-standard base-pairing at the 3rd anti-codon position. Lineage: Eukaryota; Metazoa; Chordata; Mammalia; Artiodactyla; Bovidae. The record is from Rfam by way of RNAcentral. RNAcentral also lists the same sequence under 5 other names.